AGGCUGCUGCCGAAGAGGGCUCGGGCUACGAUCCUCGCUUAGGUUUUGCACAUGAUCCACAAGUGGUUUGGCUUCGGCUCUCUCCAAGCCCUUAAGAGAGUUGUGUAAAGGCACUCCCCGGGCAGCCUCAUCCCGUGCAAUGGGCCAGACUCCAGAGACAAGCAGGGGCGUUCCCAAAACUAGUUGAGCAAAGAGAGUGCUUUGCAUAACCAGAAGCCAGGGAUGUGUAUCAACUCCUCCCUUACCCCCAAUGCUGGGCACAGACGCUAGUAAUGGUAGAUGUCCUCAAGCAGUGUUUCUCAACCUGGGGAUCAUGACGAUCUUAAACUGAAGCUCCAAGCCCCAGAGGGUUGUGGAAGCCCGGAGUUAAGGUACAAUAAGUAAUUUAGUAUGUGUUGAAUUGAAGAACAGGAUGACUAUACUCCAGAAAGGCAUGACCAGAUGGAAAAACGUCUCCACUUUGAAAGGUCUUCCUGGGCAGACUCCCACCAUUGGAAGAUGUCCACAUCUGGUGACAUCGGGAUGAAGAGACCACUCUGGUGAUUCGUAAAUGAUCUGCUCAGGUAUUCUGCCAGAUUGUUUUGGACCCCAGUAGAAAAACUUGGCACACCAACCUGACAGCUCUCAGCCCAUUGACGCUGAUGUAUAAAGUUCAGUCUUCUGCAGACCAUAGACCCUGAGUCUGUACACAGUCCAGAUGGGCCCCAC
This is a long non-coding RNA of Trachemys scripta elegans, 708 nucleotides long. RefSeq lists it as uncharacterized. The record is from RefSeq and is a predicted model, not a curated record. The transcript is spliced from 4 exons. NCBI's taxonomy places the organism in Eukaryota, Metazoa, Chordata, Testudines, Emydidae.